Molecule: ribosomal RNA, 505 nt
Filed under: uncultured bacterium
Lineage: Bacteria
Description: partial 16S ribosomal RNA
Rfam family: Bacterial small subunit ribosomal RNA
Source: RNAcentral
AUUGAACGCUAGCGGCAUGCCUAACACAUGCAAGUCGAACGGCAGCACGAGGAGCUUGCUCCUUGGUGGCGAGUGGCGGACGGGUGAGUAACGCGUAGGAAUCUACCUUAUAGUGGGGGAUAACCCGGGGAAACUCGGGCUAAUACCGCAUAAUCUCUACGGAGCAAAGUGGGGGACCUUUUAGGCCUCACGCUAUUAGAUGAGCCUGCGUCGGAUUAGCUAGUUGGUGGGGGAAAGGCCUACCAAGGCGACGAUCCGUAGCUGGUCUGAGAGGACGACCAGCCACACUGGGACUGAGACACGGCCCAGACUCCUACGGGAGGCAGCAGUGGGGAAUAUUGGACAAUGGGCGCAAGCCUGAUCCAGCAAUGCCGCGUGUGUGAAGAAGGCCCUCGGGUUGUAAAGCACUUUUAGUGGGGAAGAAAAAGUCGGAGAUAAUAUCUCCGAAAAUUGACGUUACCCACAGAAAAAGCACUGGCUAACUCUGUGCCAGCCGCCGCAGUAA